This 242-nucleotide unclassified non-coding RNA is filed under the name Glomus sp. Its description in RNAcentral is "partial contains 5.8S ribosomal RNA and internal transcribed spacer 2". The stretch from base 1 to 65 matches the Rfam family "5.8S ribosomal RNA", at positions 84 to 154 of the family's 154-position model. The record is from RNAcentral. Lineage: Eukaryota; Fungi; Glomeromycota; Glomeromycetes; Glomerales; Glomeraceae.
GUGAAUCAUCGAAUUUUUGAACGCAAAUUGCACUCUCUUCGGAGAGUAUGCGCGAUUGAGGGUAAGCCUAAAAAAAUCGACAUCGUUGCUGUUUCACAGUGGAGAUCGUCGGAAAUUGGGUUAGCUUAAAUAGUGGGUUUAAGCGACAUAAAAUUAGCUUAAGGAUUCCAUGAACGUGUAUAAGAUUAAUUUCUUUACACGUUAAAGGUAUCGAUUUUGAUUAGGCGUGGCCGUCAGAUUGG